This 653-nucleotide ribosomal RNA is filed under the name Enterobacter cloacae. RNAcentral's name for it is "partial 23S ribosomal RNA". It matches the Rfam family "Bacterial large subunit ribosomal RNA", at positions 611 to 1264 of the family's 2925-position model. The record is from RNAcentral. Lineage: Bacteria; Pseudomonadati; Pseudomonadota; Gammaproteobacteria; Enterobacterales; Enterobacteriaceae.
UAUAAUGGGUCAGCGACUUAUAUUCUGUAGCAAGGUUAACCGUAUAGGGGAGCCGAAGGGAAACCGAGUCUUAACUGGGCGUUAAGUUGCAGGGUAUAGACCCGAAACCCGGUGAUCUAGCCAUGGGCAGGUUGAAGGUUGGGUAACACUAACUGGAGGACCGAACCGACUAAUGUUGAAAAAUUAGCGGAUGACCUGUGGCUGGGGGUGAAAGGCCAAUCAAACCGGGAGAUAGCUGGUUCUCCCCGAAAGCUAUUUAGGUAGCGCCUCGUGAACUCAUCUUCGGGGGUAGAGCACUGUUUCGGCUAGGGGGCCAUCCCGGCUUACCAACCCGAUGCAAACUACGAAUACCGAAGAAUGUUAUCACGGGAGACACACGGCGGGUGCUAACGUCCGUCGUGAAGAGGGAAACAACCCAGACCGCCAGCUAAGGUCCCAAAGUCAUGGUUAAGUGGGAAACGAUGUGGGAAGGCCCAGACAGCCAGGAUGUUGGCUUAGAAGCAGCCAUCAUUUAAAGAAAGCGUAAUAGCUCACUGGUCGAGUCGGCCUGCGCGGAAGAUGUAACGGGGCUAAACCAUGCACCGAAGCUGCGGCAGCGACACUAUGUGUUGUUGGGUAGGGGAGCGUUCUGUAAGCCGUUGAAGGUGGCCUGU